GAUGAAGAACGCAGCGAAAUGCGAUACUUGGUGUGAAUUGCAGAAUCCCGUGAACCAUCGAGUCUUUGAACGCAAGUUGCGCCUCAAGCCAUUAGGUUGAUGGCACGUCUGCCUGGGCGUCACAUAUCGUUGCCUGAUGCCAGUUUCCUCGUGAUGGGUGACUGUGCAGGGCGAAUGAUGGCUUCCCGUGAGCAUUGUUGCCUCAUGGUUGGUUGAAAAUUGAGUCCUUGGUAGGGAGCGCCGUGAUAGAUGGUGGUUGAGUGACGAACGAGACCCAAUCAUGUGAGACCCCUACCGAAUUUGGCCUUCAUGACCCACAUGCGUCUUUGGAACGCUCAUGACGAGACCUCAGGUCAGGCGGGGCUACCCGCUGAGUUUAAGCAUAUCAAUAAGCGGAGGA
This 400-nucleotide unclassified non-coding RNA is filed under the name soil metagenome. Its description in RNAcentral is "partial contains 5.8S ribosomal RNA, internal transcribed spacer 2, and large subunit ribosomal RNA". The stretch from base 1 to 122 matches the Rfam family "5.8S ribosomal RNA", at positions 35 to 154 of the family's 154-position model. The record is from RNAcentral.